GCCAACAUCCAUACCACGUUGAACACACCGGUUCUCGUCCGAUCACCGAAGUUAAGCAACGUCGGGCGCGGUCAGUACUUGGAUGGGUGACCGCCUGGGAACACCGCGUGAUGUUGGCU
Non-coding RNA from Papilio xuthus (Asian swallowtail), 119 nucleotides. The record is from Rfam. Lineage: Eukaryota; Metazoa; Arthropoda; Insecta; Lepidoptera; Papilionidae.